Rhinopithecus roxellana (golden snub-nosed monkey) is the source of this 587-nucleotide long non-coding RNA. RefSeq lists it as uncharacterized. NCBI's taxonomy places the organism in Eukaryota, Metazoa, Chordata, Mammalia, Primates, Cercopithecidae. The record is from RefSeq and is a predicted model, not a curated record. The transcript is spliced from 3 exons.
GUUUGCUCCAGCUCGCUCUCUGCGCCUUGGCUGCUUCCUUCUCUUGUUGCUUUGUUCAACGCACCAAGAACCUGGACAACUCAGUCAAGACUCUCCAUCCGGUCUGAGAUCGCAUCAGGGAGGCAGCGAGGUGCUCCCGACACUGAGUGAAACUGCACACACACGCUCUCCUUCGACCCUGCAGCAGAGGCCUGGUAGAUCAGUUAGCUGCAUCUGAAAAGGAAACAUGGAGUCUCAUUGAAAUCUCUGCACAACUUAGAUUCAUUCUUCUCUGAAAUCUGAAUUUUUAAUAGAAAGUUCCAGCCAUUCAGAAGAGGAGGCUGUGUCCACGCUUAAAAUGUGCAGAAGCAGUGAGCAGACGUGACCCAGUGACGUGCACGGGGCUUUUCCCACCCACGGGACUAGGAACUCCACUCCCCGUCCCGUCCCGGCGAAAGAGAGCACUCCGGGCUCUGGGACCGAAAGUGAGCCCAGGAACUUGGUGAAAUAGAAACCGGACAUAUUAUCUUUGGACUCGGCCUCCUUUUGCUGGGAGUUUUGUUUUUGCUUUCUCUCUCUCUCUCUCUCUCUCUCUCUCUCUCUCUCUC